AGGAGUGUGGCGGAAUAUAGCGUGCAAAUAAGGAGAAGUUGGUGUCAAGUCGCAAGCUAUGCGGAAGCUUCGCAGGUUCGAAUCCUGCCACUCCUA
This 96-nucleotide transfer RNA is filed under the name Porphyromonadaceae bacterium. RNAcentral describes it as "tRNA-Arg". It matches the Rfam family "tRNA". From Rfam's summary of the family: Transfer RNA (tRNA) molecules are approximately 80 nucleotides in length. Their secondary structure includes four short double-helical elements and three loops (D, anti-codon, and T loops). Further hydrogen bonds mediate the characteristic L-shaped molecular structure. tRNAs have two regions of fundamental functional importance: the anti-codon, which is responsible for specific mRNA codon recognition, and the 3' end, to which the tRNAs corresponding amino acid is attached (by aminoacyl-tRNA synthetases). tRNAs cope with the degeneracy of the genetic code in two manners: having more than one tRNA (with a specific anti-codon) for a particular amino acid; and 'wobble' base-pairing, i.e. permitting non-standard base-pairing at the 3rd anti-codon position. Lineage: Bacteria; Pseudomonadati; Bacteroidota; Bacteroidia; Bacteroidales; Porphyromonadaceae. The record is from RNAcentral.